AUGGAUCCCAACUGCUCCUGUGCCACCAGUUACUCCUGCACCUGAGCCGGCUCCUGCAAGUGCAAAGAGCACAAAUGCACCUCCUGCAAGAAAGGCUGCUGCUCCUGCUGCUCUGUGGGCUGUGCCAAGUGUGGCCAGGGCUGCAUCUGCAAAGGGGAGUCAGACAAGUGCAGCUGCUGCAGCUGAUGCCAGGGCAGCCCUGCUCCCAUGUUUAAAUAACACGACCCCUACAAACCUGGAGUUUUUAAAAAUGUACAACCCUGACCCGUUUGCUACUUUCCUUUUUCUAUGAAAUAGUGUGAAUGAUAAUAAAACAGCUUUGACUUGAAA
Molecule: non-coding RNA, 330 nt
Organism: Saimiri boliviensis boliviensis (Bolivian squirrel monkey)
Lineage: Eukaryota; Metazoa; Chordata; Mammalia; Primates; Cebidae
Source: RefSeq, a predicted model, not a curated record